AGCGAACGCUGGCGGCAGGCUUAACACAUGCAAGUCGAACGCAUCCUUCGGGGUGAGUGGCAGACGGGUGAGUAACACGUGGGAACGUGCCCUUCAGUUCGGAAUAACUCAGGGAAACUUGAGCUAAUACCGGAUACGCCCUUCGGGGGAAAGAUUUAUUGCUGAAGGAUCGGCCCGCGUCUGAUUAGCUAGUUGGUGGGGUAAUGGCCUACCAAGGCGACGAUCAGUAGCUGGUCUGAGAGGAUGAUCAGCCACACUGGGACUGAGACACGGCCCAGACUCCUCGGGGAGGCAGCAGGGGGGAAUAUUGGACAAUGGGCGAAGGCCUAAUCAAGCCUUGCGGGGGGAAUGAUGAAGCCCUUAGGGUUGAAAAGCUCUUUUAUCGGGGAAGAUAAUGACUGUACAGGAAGAAUAAGCCCCGGCUAACUUCUUGCCAGCAGCCGCAGUAA
RNAcentral lists this ribosomal RNA (449 nucleotides) under uncultured bacterium. Its description in RNAcentral is "partial 16S ribosomal RNA". It matches the Rfam family "Bacterial small subunit ribosomal RNA", at positions 29 to 523 of the family's 1533-position model. The record is from RNAcentral.